Molecule: long non-coding RNA, 103 nt
Organism: Populus euphratica (Euphrates poplar)
Lineage: Eukaryota; Viridiplantae; Streptophyta; Magnoliopsida; Malpighiales; Salicaceae
Exons: 2
Source: RefSeq, a predicted model, not a curated record
CCAUUCCUGGUCUCACUUUCAUACUUGCCGUUGCUUUCAGUUAGUCUGGUUGGAGCAACUGUGAUCUUCAUUGGAUUUUAUUCGGUGAUGUGGGGACAGGCAA